GAUAUCUUUCUCUGUUUUGUUCACUGAUGAAGCCAAGUGCCUAGUAGAGUCUCUGGUACAUAGUCAGGACUCGGUACAUAGUUGCUGAAUAAAGGAAUGAACACGUCCAUCUCUUGGAUAACCCUGCUCCAAUGUGGACUGUUGAGAAUAGGCUGCAGGGCACAAGGGUAAACCCAGGGAGAAUGAUUUGGAGGCUGCUGCAGCAAUCCAGGUAAGAGGCAAUGUGUCUUAGACCAGGAUAGUCGCAAUGAAGGUGGUACAAUUUGUAGGAUUCUGGUCAUAUUUUGAGGGUAAAGCCAACAGGAUUUCCUGGUGAGUUGGAUAUGGCAUGUAAGAGAAGGGAGUUAAGAACAAGUUCAAAGUUUUGGCAGGAGCACCUGGAAGGAUAGGGUUACUAUCAACUGAAAUGGAGAAGGCUGCAUUUGGAGAAUAUUUUGGGGAAUGGGGAAUGGGGAGGUGUGGUUAGAAAUUAAUCUUUGACAUUUGAGUUUCAGAUAUUCAUUAGAAAUCUACGUGGAGAUGCCAAGAAAUCUAUGAGUCAGGAGUUUAUGAGAGAAGUCUGACCUGGAGAUGAAUUUAUUGAAUGCUGUCAUCAGUAAUGUCCCCACUGCCCUCGUAUGUCUUUUUAAGCUGAAGACAAAAGAUCAGUUGAUAAGAAGACACUCAUUUCACCUGACAGAAGUGUUCUAUGCUGAACUUCUCCGGGGAGCUGGUGGUGGGCACAGUGAGCCUGGAAGAAGAAAAAUAGAGCAAUCUACUUUUUUGACCAUCUUUAUGCCAGAUGUCUAAUCUCUAAUUCACAUUCUAGUCCUGCCAGAUAACCCAAGUGCAGAAGCCUAGUGAUUCCCAGGAGUUACUCAUGUCUUGCCCAUUGCAUUCCUCAGAAAGGAGAGAAAAACUCUCAGUAAAUCUGAAAUUUAUUUAAAAAUAAAGUAUAAUUGAUGUACAACAUUAUAUUAGUUUCAGGUAUAUGAUAUAAUGAUUCGUUAUUUGUAUAUAUUACAAAAUGAUCACCACAAUAAGUCUAGCUAACAUGCAUCACCA
RNAcentral lists this long non-coding RNA (1044 nucleotides) under Equus caballus (horse). RNAcentral's name for it is "lncRNA (ENSECAG00000047367.1)". The record is from RNAcentral. Lineage: Eukaryota; Metazoa; Chordata; Mammalia; Perissodactyla; Equidae.